CUUGUUGGCGGGGUAAAGGCCCACCAAGGCGACGAUCCGUAGCUGGUCUGAGAGGACGAUCAGCCACACUGGGACUGAGACACAGCCCAGACUCCUACGGGAGGCAGCAGUGGGGAAUCUUGCGCAAUGGGCGAAAGCCUGACGCAGCGACGCCGCGUGAGGGAAGAAGGCCUUCGGGUUGUAAACCUCUUUCAGGAGGGACGAAGCCACUCGGGUUAAUAGCCCAGAGGGUGACGGUACCUCCAGAAGAAGCCCCGGCUAACUACGUGCCAGCAGCCGCGGUAAUACGUAGGGGGCAAGCGUUGUCCGGAUUUAUUGGGCGUAAAGAGCGUGUAGGCGGCUUUACAGGUCCGCUGUGAAAACUCGAGGCUCAACCUCGAGCUGUCGGUGGAAACCGUAAGGCUAGAGUCCGGAAGAGGAGAGUGGAAUUCCCGGUGUAGCGGUGAAAUGCGCAGAUAUCGGGAAGAACACCCGUGGCGAAGGCGGCUCUCUGGGACGGUACUGACGCUGAGACGCGAAAGCGUGGGGAGCGAACAGGAUUAGAUACCCUGGUAGUCCACGCCGUAAACGAUGGGUGCUAGGUGUGGGAGGUGUCGACUCCUCCCGUGCCGAAGCUAACGCAUUAAGCACCCCGCCUGGGGAGUACGGCCGCAAGGCUAAAACUCAAAGGAAUUGACG
Molecule: ribosomal RNA, 678 nt
Filed under: uncultured Actinomycetes bacterium
Lineage: Bacteria; Bacillati; Actinomycetota; Actinomycetes
Description: SSU rRNA
Rfam family: Bacterial small subunit ribosomal RNA
Source: RNAcentral